RNAcentral lists this ribosomal RNA (274 nucleotides) under uncultured bacterium. RNAcentral describes it as "partial 16S ribosomal RNA". It matches the Rfam family "Bacterial small subunit ribosomal RNA", at positions 523 to 796 of the family's 1533-position model. The record is from RNAcentral.
AUACGGAGGGGGUUAGCGUUGUUCGGAAUUACCGGGCGUAAAGCGCACGUAGGCGGACUGGAAAGUUGGGGGUGAAAUCCCGGGGCUCAACCCCGGAACUGCCUCCAAAACUUCCAAUCUAGAGAUCGAGAGAGGUGAGUGGAAUUCCAAGUGUAGAGGUGAAAUUCGUAGAUAUUUGGAGGAACACCAGUGGCGAAGGCGGCUCACUGGCUCGAUACUGACGCUGAGGUGCGAAAGCGUGGGGAGCAAACAGGAUUAGAAACCCCAGUAGUCC